CCCUUAGAUGUUCUGGGCCGCACGCGCGCUACACUGAUGCAUUCAACAAGCCUAGCCUUGACCGAGAGGUCCGGGUAAUCUUUGAAACUGCAUCGUGAUGGGGCUAGAUUAUUGCAAUUAUUAAUCUUCAACGAGGAAUGCCUAGUAAGCGUGAUUCAUCAAAUCGCGUUGAUUACGUCCCUGCCCUUUGUACACACCGCCCGUCGCUCCUACCGAUUGAGUGGUCCGGUGGGGCUUUGGGAUCUGAGCGGAAAGAGCGUUUCGCUGUUUCUGCUCGGAAAACUCAGUCGAACCUUAUCAUUUAGAGGAAGGAGAAGUCGUAACA
This 325-nucleotide ribosomal RNA is filed under the name uncultured eukaryote. RNAcentral's name for it is "partial 18S ribosomal RNA". It matches the Rfam family "Eukaryotic small subunit ribosomal RNA", at positions 1470 to 1796 of the family's 1831-position model. The record is from RNAcentral.